RNAcentral lists this transfer RNA (68 nucleotides) under Careproctus colletti (Alaska snailfish). RNAcentral's name for it is "tRNA-Phe". It matches the Rfam family "tRNA". Rfam says of the family: Transfer RNA (tRNA) molecules are approximately 80 nucleotides in length. Their secondary structure includes four short double-helical elements and three loops (D, anti-codon, and T loops). The record is from RNAcentral. Lineage: Eukaryota; Metazoa; Chordata; Actinopteri; Perciformes; Liparidae.
GUUUACGUAGCUUAAUUAAAGCAAAACACUGAAAAUGUUAAAAUGGAUCUUAAAACACCCCGCAAACA